UUUUUUUAAAAUGUUUUAUUUAUCUUUGAGAGAGAGACAGAGUGCGAGUGGGUUGGGGCAGAGAGAGAGAGGGAGGCACAGAAUCUGAAGCAGGCUUCAGACUCUGAGCUGUCAGCACAGAGCCCGACGCGGGGCUCGGACUCACGGAUCGUGAGAUCAUGACCUGAGCUGAAGUGAGAAGCUUAACGGACUGAGCCACCCAGGCGCCCCCAAUAGAUGUUCAUUUUUACCUUUAAAAUGGCCCAUUCUUCAGUCGAGUUUGAGUACGUGCUGUGAACUGUCCCACCCCCGGCCAGCCACCCGGCUCUCUUCCCAGAAGGGUUAGUGUGACCCAGUGCUUGAGUGUCUGUCUGGGAACAGUUUCUGUGUGAUGAUACGCACGGACCUUUUUCCACUUAGAUGCUUCAUGGAGAUCAUUCCAAUUCCGAACAAAAGUGCUCCCCGACUCUGCUGUCCACAUGUGCCUUAAUCUUCCCAGCCCGCCCCAUGUUGGUGCACAAUUAGGUUGUUACCAAUUUUUUUUUUUUUAUAUAGUAUAAGCUGUUUUUUGUGUGAGUGUUACUAUUCGUGUAGGAGGAAUUUCAGGAAUUGUAAUCACCUGGCCAAGUAGAGCGUGUCAGGUAUAGGUAGCUGUUGGCAAGUUCCCGGGAGGAAGUUGAAUCGGUUGUUGAAGGCUGGUCCCCAAAGCGUGGGAGCGUGCACACCCUCUCCACGCAGCCCAUGGGUCUUAAGGUGAAAAACCGAAUCUUACUGCUGUUUGCAUUUGUAUUUCAGAUGGCUGGUUUUUUUAGUUUUUCUUGCAAUCAUGUUGCCAUUUCAUGCAAAACGGCUGAAACUUGUUUUGAAAGAUUGGUGGUAGCUUGUUCCUGGCAACCGUCAUAGCAUAUUCUCUGAAGAGAGGGUGCCUGUGAGUCUCGGUGACUUCUGUUCACCAAGGCAGUGGUGGAGAGGACAGCACCGACAUUUGUUAAGUCUCAGAGUGAACCGCCUUCCCCAAAUUCAUCCGUGGAACCCAGCCCCCAGUGUGAUGCUGUCGGGAGGCCAUGAGGUCAGGAGGGCGGAGCCUCGUGAUGCGAUUGGAGCCCUUGCCCCUUGCGCCCCGCAGGGACACAGCAAGAAGACGGCCGUCUGUGCCCUGGUCAUGGAGCUCCAGCGUCCAGGACUGUGAGAAACCAGGGGGUGUUUGUAAGCCCCCCAGCCUGUGGUGGUUUCGUCCUAGCAGCCUGGAUGAACUAAGAUAGUACUGUAUGUACGUGAUUUUAAAAGUCAGUUACCAGACCACUUCUCCACUUACCCACCUCCAGGUUUGGCUCAUCAAAGGCAACCACUUUCAAAUCUUUAUUUCCCUCCAUAUUUCUUUUUUUAAUAUAUAAUUUUAUUUAUUUAUUUUAGAGCGUGAAUCAGGGAGAGGGCCAGAGGGCAAGAGAGAGAAUCCCAAGCAGGCCCCACACUCAGCAAGGAGCCCAACGCAGGGCUCAAUCUCACCACCCAGGGAUCAUGACCUGAGCGGAAAUCAAGAGUUGGAUGCUCAGGGCGCCUGGAUGGCUCAGUCGGUUGAGCGUCCGACUUCAGCUCAGAUCAUGAUCUCAUGGUUUGUGGGUUCGAGCCCUGUGUCGGGCUCUGUGCUGACGGCUCAGAGCCUGGAGCCUGCUUUGGAUUCUGUGUCUCCCUCUCUCUGUGCCCCUCCCCCGUUUGUGCUGUGUCUCAAAAAUAAACAUUAAGAAAAAAAAUUUUUUUAAGUGAGAUGCUCACCUGAGCCACCCAGGCGCCCCUGUUUUCUUCCGUGUUUCUAAACAACCUGCUUAUAUUCUUUCUUUCUUGAUUUCUUUCUUUUUGUUAAGUUUAUUUAUUUUGAGACAGAGAGGAGGGGAGGGACAGAGAGAGAGAAUCCCAAGCAGUCUCUGCAGUGACAGCGCAGAGCCCAAUGAAGGGCUCGAUCCCAGGAGCCAUGAGAUCACAACCUGAGCCAAAAUCUAGUGGGAUGCUCAACUGACCGAGCCACCCAGGCACAAACGUCUGACAGCGUGCUCGUGGGCAAAGGCCCCUUUAUGUAAUGGAGAGCCUUGGAUGAACAACGCCCGUACACAGGCUGGAUGCACAUCCACACCAGCACCUUCAGCCCAGGACCCACCCACAUGUAUGAAAUUAACUCAUCGUAGGGCCUCUUGGGCAAAUGAAUGAAAUAAAUGCUUUUCUCCUACUCUCAGGUUUUGUCAUGUAAGUUGUGGGGUUAACGCCUGUUGGGUCGCACAGAGGGUGGUUAACCAGAAGUCACAUUAUUCUGAUUUUCUGAUUUGUUCCAUUCAAGUGUUUCAAAGAUGUGUGUGCAGAACAGGGAGCGAAGCUUGACAUCUCAAGGCUCACUAGCAGGGGUGAAGAGUAGGGGUCCCUCCUGCAAGCCGGAAGCAUCUUCCACGAUGGUCCUCAGGUUUCCUCUUUUGUUUUAAAGCAUUGUUUAAAAAUUGUGCUAAAAUAUACAUAACAAAAGUUUACCACCUUCACCACUGUUUGGUCAGCGCAGGGAUGUUAGGUGCAUUCGCUCUGGAAGCACACGUCACCACCGCCUGCCGUUCACCGAACUCUGCCACCUUCCCCAGUCGGAGCUCUGUCCCCACGAAGCCAACUGCCCGCCCGGCCCGAGCCCCCGCACCGCCCAUCCGGCUUCCGUCUCCACGGAUCCCACUCUUCGGGGGACCUCGUACGCGUGGGACCCUCGGAGUGUCCUGUUGUCACCGGCUUCCUGCACUUGGCAGGGUGUCCUCCGGGUCCAUCCGUGUUGUACCAGCUGCCACUACUUCCUUCCCGUCUUAAGCUUCAAUAACACCCCCUCGCGUGGACGGCCCACACGGUUUCGUGGAUUCAUCCACCGAGGGGCACCUCGCUGGCUUCCACCUCUCGGCUGUUGUGAGGGAUGCUGCCGUGCGCACAGGUGCACACGUACCUGUUCGUGUCCUUUUAGUUCUUUUGGGCGUCUGCUCCCCGGAUGGAGUUGCUGGGUCACGUGGUAAGGCCAUUGCUGAGUCUUUGAGGAACCGCCGUGCUGUUUUCCACGGCAGCUGCACCUUUCACACCCCCGCUGACCGUGCACAGGGUCCCCGUUUCUCCACGUCCUCGCCAACACUUACUAACUCAUCUUUGUUAUUUAUUUACGUAUUUAUAUUAAAAGGGAAUAUUUAUUUUUUUAUUUAAAUCCAAGUUCGUGGGGUGCCUGGGUGGCUCAGUCGGUUGAGUGUCCGACUUCAGGUCGUGAUCCCUCGGUUCAUGGGUUCGAGCCGUAUGUCAGGCUCUGUGCUGACAGCUCAGAGCCUGGAGCCUGCUUCGGAUUCUGUGUCUCCCCCUCUCUCUGCCCUCCCCCGUUCUCACUCUGUCUGUCUGUCUCUCUCUGUCUCUCUCAGAAAUAAACAUUAAAAACAAACAACCAAGUUAGUUAACACAGAGUGUAAUAGUUUCAGGAGUAGAAUUUAGUGAUUCAUCGCUUACAUGCAACACCCGAUGCUCACCCCAACAAGUGUCCUCCUUAAUGCGUCUCACCCUUUACGCAUCCCCCCACCCACAACCCCUCCAGUAGCCCUCAUUUCUCUGUAUUUAAGAGUCUCCUAGGGUUUGUCUCCCUCUCUGUUUUUAUCUCAUUUUUGCUUUCCUUACCUUAUGUGCCUCUGUUUUGUUUCUUAAAUUCCACAGAUGAGUGAAAUCAUACGAUAUUAGUCUUUCUCUGACUUAUUUUGCUUAGCAUAAUACCCUCCAGUUCCAUCCACGUAGGCGCAAAUGGCAAGAUGUCAUUCUUUUUCAUCACCAACUAAUAGUCCCUUGUAUGUAUAUACCACAUCUUUAUCCAUUCAUCCAUCGAUGGACAUUUGGGCUCUUUCCAUACUUUGGCUAGUGUUGAAACUGCUGCUACAAACAUGGGGUGCGUGUGUCCCUUCGAAACAGCACACCUGUAUCCCGUGGAUAAACGCCUAGUAGUGCAAUUGCUGGGUCGUAGGGUCGUUCUAUUUUUAGUUUUUUGAGGAACCUCCAUACUGUUCUCCAGAGCGGCUGCACCAGCUUGCGUUCCCACCAACAAUGCGAAAGAGUUCCUCUUUCUCCGCAUCCUCGCCAACAUCCGUUGUUGCCUGAGUUGUUAAUGUGAGCCGUUCUGACAGGGGUGAGGGGAUAUCUCAUUGUGGUUUUGAUUUGCAUUUCCCUGAUGAUGAAGUUGAGCAUUUUUUCAUGUGUCGGUUGGCCAUCUGGAUGUCUUUCUUGGAAAAGUGUCUAUUCAUGUCUUUGCCCAUUUCUUCACUGGAUUAUUUGUUUUUUGGGUGUUGAGCUUGAUCAGUUCUUUGUAGAUUUUGGAUACUAACCCUUUAUCUGAUGUGUCGUUUGCAAAUAUCUUCUCCCAUUCCGUCGGUUGCCUUUUAGUUUUGCUGAUUGUUUCCUUCGCUGUGCAGAAGCUUUUUAUUUUGAUGAGGUCCCAGCAGUUCAUUUCUGCUUUUGUUUCCCUUGCCUCCGGAGGCGUGUUGAGUAAGAAGUUGCUUCAGGCAAGGCCAAAGAGGUUUUUGCCUGUUUUCUUCUCGAGGAUUGUGAUGGCUUCCUGUCUUACAUUUGAGGUCUUUCGUCCAUUUUGAGUUUAUUUUUGUGUAAGAAAGUGGUCCAGGUUCGUUCUUCUGCCUGUCGCCGUCCAGUUUUCCCAGCACCGUUUGCUGAAGAGACUGUCUUUAUUCCAUGGGUGUUCUUUCCUGCUUUGUCAAGAUUAGUUGGCCAUACGUCGGUGGGUCCAUUCCUGGGUUCUCUAUUCUGCUCCGUUGAUCUGAGUGUCUGUGCUUGUGCCAGUACCGUACUGUCUUGCUGAUUACAGCUUUGUAAUACAGCUUGAAGUCCAGGAUUGGGAUGCCUCCUGCUUUGGUUUUCUUUUUCAAGGUCGCUUUGGCUAUUCGGGGUCUUUUCUGGUUCCAUACACGUUUUAGGAUUGUCUGUUCCAGCUCCGGGAAGAGUGCUGGUGUUGUUUUCAUCGGGAUCGCCUUCAUCUUUCUCUUAAUAACAACCCACCCUGAUGGGUGUGAAGUUCCAGGUCUCCCUUUAAGAUAAGCUCCCAGUGCUGACGAGAGUGAGUGCAGGGUGGUGUUCCUCUAGUGUUAGUGUGCACGUGAUUCCUCCAGGGAAGCGUGUGGGAAUUCUGAUUCGGGAGAUCUGGGGUGGGACCUGAUAGUCUGCGUUUCUGGCAGGCACCAGGCAUGCCGAUGGUGGAAGCUGCUGGCCGAGGGCCAUGCCGUGAGUGGCAAAGAUGGGUGGGGGGAAGCAGGUGGGCUUGGGGUGAAGCAGACCUCGAUGUAGCUGCAGCCACCCCAGCCUCCUCCUCUGUGAACUGAGAGCCCUGCUCUCUACUGGAAGUGCCAAGUGCAGGGCUCAGACGCCAGCACAGAAGAAAUGACAGCCUUCCUCAGCAGCUGCUGCUUGGCCCGUCCCUGAAGCAGAAGGAGGAGGGGGGUGCCCCUGUGCUGUCAUCAGGCACGUAGACGAGAUGGGGGCAUAGGGACCACGGGUCACCUCCAGGCUGCAGGCUCCGGAGCCCGACCUUCCUCCAGCCAUUGGUGCCUCGGAGUUUCGGGAGAGCAAGAAGGGCCUCGCUGCUCGGUCAGUGAACACCGAUCACGGGCCCGCCCGGUUUCACGAUGGUGUGCAAAGUACAGGUGCAGGAGUGCGGUGAGCUGAAGCAGGCGACGACGUCCUGGCACGGGAAGGGGGGCCUUGCCUCAGGGCUGUCACACUGCUGCCUCUCCCUCCUGCCCAGUGACCAGAGCGGGACCAGAGCUCAGUGUUCCCGGGUCUCCCGCACAGUGAUCCUCAGAGCCUUCGGCUGCCCAGCUCGUCCACCUCUGGCCACGUGGCCCCAGCCUGCGUGUCAGGGACUAAGUUCUUCUGUGAAUUAUUUCACUUAUGCUCACGAGAGACCGUUGCCUUAAGCUGCCAAGGCAGCUCAAUGGGGCAUGCUCGGUGUCCUUCAGUUGGACAUGCUGGGCCCUGGGAACCGGCCCAGCCUCACCAGGCAUUCCCAUCUGGAGAGAAUGAUCUGAGGCCGAUGGCCCAGAGCUGGGGGCUGGCAAGUGUUUCCGGGCCCGGGACCUUUGGGAGCUGCCUGCUGAGGGGAGGGAGAGCUGGACCACACCCCAUAAUCACUGCUGGGGGAUACUGCCCGUCCCCUCCUGAUGUCUCUUUCUUCUCCCAGGGCCACUGUUUCUUUGUAAAGUUUUUCCGUUUGUUGAGAAAUGUUUGAUGCACAUAAAUUAUGAACACAGAUCAUACAGUCAUUUGAAGUAUCAAAAUAUGGCCCCGCAGCCACCACCACUCACUUGACACUAACCAGUCCUCUGACCACCGUCCCUCCUGGGUCUGCUCACCAGAAUGCCGGUUGGUGGGUGGGCUGUGCUGUUCCUGUGUCCCUAUCGCUGGUGGCCCUGCUGUCCCUGUGUCCCUAUCGCUGGUGGCCCUGUCAUCGGUGGCCCAGUCCCUGUGGCCCUGCUGUCCUUGUGGCCCUGUCCCUGUGACACUGUCCCUAUGGCCCCGCGAUCCCUGUGGCCCUGUCUCUGUGGCCCUGCUGUCUCUGUGGCCUGGUCCCUGUGGCCCCCUCCCUGUGGUCCUAUCCUGUGACCCGGUCCCUGUGGCCCUGCUGUCCCUGUGGUUCUGUCCUUGUGGCCCUCUCCCUGUAGUCCUGUCCUGUGGCCCAGUCCCUGUGAUCCUGUCCCUGUGGUCCUGUCCCUGUGGCCCAGUCCCUGUGGACAUGCUGUCUCUGUGGCCCUGUCAUCUGGCCCGGUCCCUGUGGCCCUGUCCCUGUGAUCCUGUCCCUGUGGUCCUCUCCCUGUGGUCCUGUCCUAUGGCCUGGUCCCUGUGGCCGUGCUGUCCCUGUGGUUCUGUCCCUGUGGCCCUCUCCCUGUAGUCCUGUCCUGUGGCCCUGUCCCUGUGUCCUGGUCCCUGUGGCCCUGUCCCUGUGGCCCGGUCCGUGUGGCCCUUUUGUCCCUGUGGCCCUGUCAUAUGGCCCGGUCCCUGUGGCCCUGUCCCAGUGAUCCUGUCCCUGUGGCCCUGCUGUCCCUGUGGUCCUGUCCCUGUGGCCCAGUCCCUGUGGUGCUGUGGUCUUCUGAGCCUUGCUGUUCGCACACACGCUUCCGUCUCUAAGGGCUGCACUGUCUACUUUGCAGGACAGAUUCAGUGUCACGGAUCCAGCACCAACUUGGCUGGAGCUGAGCAUCUGAAACCGCCAAGUACCUGCUGACAUCCCAGGAAGGAAGUAGCUGUGUGACCUUCUCAUCAUCACAAAACAGAGGCUCUACAGCCAUUGGAUCUCCUUCUAAGUUGUCAGGGGAGGCAGGAGGCGACCCCAUCCUCAGGAGAUUGACAGCCUACCUGUGGAGAUGAGGACCCGCAGUGACAUUGUGGGGCUGCACGCAAGGUGAAAGUGUGGUCUCGUGUUCAAGAAGUAGGCAGAAUUUCGAGACGAGCCCAGCAGGGCAUCUCCCUGUGCCCGUGGCCUUCCACGGGGUCGGCCCCCCCGACAGAGCGCCUGGGAGGGAACGGCUUCUGCCCACGCCUUCGCCGCCCCUGUCUGCGUGGUCCCAGCUCCUCCUCUUGAGAUCAGCGGCGUUUUCUCAGAACCGUGGGGUCCCGCUCAUAGACACCCGUGUCGGCCGCGAUGCAGGAAGAGAGAGCAGGCUUGAAUCUCCACCCUCCUCUGGCCGCUGGCUGCUCCAUUCCCACCAGGCCCUUCCUUUGGGGCCUGUUCGAGGCGCCGUGCCUGGCACGGAGCAGGUACCUACUGUCUCCUCUCGUCCGUCAGCAGAAAGAGCACAAAACAGGACUUUACUUACAGGCUUUUUGAGUUUAUGUAUUUAUUUUGAGAGAGAGAGAGAGAGAGAGGCGGGGAGGGCAGAGAGAGGAGAGAGAGAGAAUCCCAAGCAGGCUCCACACUGGCAGCACAGAGCCCAACACAGGGCUCGAACUCGCGAACCACGAGAUCGUGACCUGAGCCAAAACUGGGAGUCAGACGCUUAACCGACUGAGUCAUCCAGGUGCCCCUAUUUACAGGCUUUUAAUCCAUUUUUUAUUUGUUUAUGCUUAAGGUUUGUCUUGGGGCCACGUGAGGUGCAGGGUGACGGGGGGUGCGGCGAUGGGGCUGUGGUGCUGAGGACGAGGAGGGGACAGACGUGGAUUUCUGAGCCCGGUCCAGGGAAGGCCAGCGGCUGCCUGUCCUGAUGUCGGGGAGACUGAGGCGCUGCCCCGACCGGUACCCCACCCAUCCCCGCAGAGCAGAGCUGUGGUCUCCAGCAAGAAAGGAGCGUGAGGGUUCUGGGGUCCGGGGGAGGCUGCCUGAUUCAGGCCCUGGUCCCGCCGUGUUGCAGCCGGGGGCCCCCGAGCGGGUGAGUCCUCCUCCCGUGCCUGUGCUCCCGUCCCUGAACCGGAGCUAGGACAGCGCCAGCCUCCGAGCCCAAAGGUCUGACUCCUGGAAGGCUGCUCACAGCACACGGGCACCUAAGGGGCCACAUCUGUGUUCCACUGUUGACAUCAGAUUACACGGUUUUAAAAGGGGGGCUGAGUUGUCCUCUGAAAAUUUGCAUGUUGACAUCUUGACUCCCAGGACCUCGAGAUGUGACUUUAUUUGGAGACAGGGUCUUUGAAGUGGCGAUUAAGUUAAAAUGAGGUCAGCAGGACGGACCCUGAUCCCAGUGACUGAGGGAGAGAAGGAGAUCAGGCACAGAUGUGCUCUGAGGGAGGGCCACAUGAGGACACAGAGACGAUGCCUGUCUGCAGGCCAUGGGGGCCUCGGUAGGGACAUGUUCAUCGCGGGCCUGUAGCCCCAGGACUGGGAGAGAAUAAGUGUCUGAGCUCUAAGCCCCCACCUGUGGGGCUUUGUUAUGGCGGCCCCAGCAAGUUGUUCAGGAGCUAUGACACAUUGUAGUCCCCAGAUACUCGGGAAGGGGCGCUCACAGGUAUUCACGCAUCCUUCACCGCAGACUCUGGCAGGGGCCUCCGUCACGGCUCUCACCACCUCACACACACCCCUGCACGCACCUGCCGGCAUCUGCCUGCCGGUCUUUCCCUGAAAGGUUUAUGGUUCCAGCCGGAACAGUGUGAGGUCUCUCAGCGUAAACCAGAAGGACCAGAGCCGUGAGCCCCAGAGUGUGGAGGGCCGUGGCCUGGGUGCCGCGCUGGGCAGGUUACCUGCUACCCGUUCGGCCCCCAAGUCCAAGUGUUAGUGGCGACGUCACACCUGGCUCCGGAGAAACCCUUUCCCAAUCUGCCUUUGGACUCGUCACUUCCCAGCCGCUGCCCUGCGGCUUCCCCCGUCGGUGUUCUUCCUGUGUUUUCCGUCUUGUUUCUCAAAGCCUGGUCAGCCCGCUGAGAUUCGGAGCGUCCUGCUGUCCUCACACGGCUUUGCUGCCCCUUUUCUUCCCCUCGGCAGGGGUGAGGAGAGCCCGGGGUCCCACACUCUGGUCGCAGAACCCCCAGGCGGCUCCCCUUCCUGUACAUCCUCCUGGCCCUCUGACCAUCUCACCCAGGCCUGUGUCCCAGUGUAAAAGACCCUCUGCCCUCCUAAUCUGCCACCCUAUUUCUGAUUUCCAAGAGAGGAGAGCCCAGAAUUUCUUACUGAGUAGCAAUAUGGUUUAAGAUCACAGACCGUGAAGCCAGAGCGCCUGGACUUAAAUCCCAGCCUUCUACCGACAUGCUGUGUGACGUUAGACACACUGCGUAACCUCUCUGGGCUUCUGUUUCCUCGCUUGCAGGAGAGGAGUAAGCUGACUGCUCCCUGGUGGAGGGCAAAGCCCUUGGAAGGGCCCUGUCAGUCCACGGUGAGCAGUCGUCAUCAUUAGUCCCAAACCGCUCACGUGGGUGCCGCCACCGCUCAGAAGAAAGCGUUUGCGUGGUUCAAUCAGUGAGUGAGACACACAGCCUCCUCCCUGGCUUCCAGCCUCCCGCACUGUCCUGUGCCUCCGCCAGCCCGGAUGAGCACAGCAGCCUGGGGCCGAUCACGGUCGUCAAGUUUGUGCUGAAGACAGCGGGUUCUUUUCCAGGGCCGAGAAAAGGCCACGAUGGUGAGAUAAGCCCCAGAAAUGGACUGAAGAAAACGGCAAAUAAAGCCUGGAUUAUUGCACUGCUGGAGGUAAUGCAAACUGGUGCAGCUGGUCUGGAAAACAGUGUGGAGUUUCCUCAAAAAUUUAAAACUAGAACGACCCGACGACCCAGCAAUUGCACUACUAGGCGUUUAUCCACGGGAUACAGGUGUGCUGUUUCGAAGGGACACACGCACCCCAUGUUUGUAGCAGCAGUGUCAACAACAGCCAAAGUAUGGAAAGAGCCCAAAUGUCCCUCGAUGGAUGAAUGGAUAAAGAAGAUGUGGUAUAUAUAUACACAAUGGAGUAUUACUCGGCAAUCGAAAAGAAUGAAAUCUUGCCAUUUGCAACUACAUGGGUGGAACUGGAGGGUAUUAUGUUUUUUUGUUUUGUUUUUGUUUUCUAAUUUUUUUUUCCAUUUAUUUAAUUUUGAGAGACAGUGACAGAGUGUGAGCAGGGUAGAGGCAGAGAAACAGGGAGACACAGGAUCCGAAGCAGGCUCCAGGCUCCGAGCCGACAGCACAGAGCCUGACAUGGGUCUCGAACCCACGACCUGUGAGAUCAUGACCUGAGCUGAAGUCAGAUGCCCAACCGACUGAGCCACCCAGGCGCCCCUAGAGGGUAUUAUGUUCAGCGAAAUUAGAGAAAGACAGACAUCCUAUGACUUCGCUCGUGGAAUUUAAGAUACAGAACAGAUGAACAUAAGGGAAGGGAAGAAAAAAACAAUAUAAAAAUGGAGGGGGACGAAACAUCAGAGACUCUUAAAUACAGAGAACAGACAGGGUUGCUGGAGGGGAGGGAGCAGGGCUAAAUGGGCAAGGGGCAUCGAGGAGGGCGCUCGGGGUGAGCACUGGGCGUCACACGUAGGGGAUGAAUCACUGACUCUACUCCUGUAUCAUUACCGCACUAUAUGCUAACUAGCUUGGAUGUAAAUUAAAAAUUAAUUCAUUAAAAGAAGCAAAGCCUGGUUUAGACGAGCCACGCCCUGCUGUCCCCGUCUGUCCCCUCCUCCUUUGAAGAUUGUCAGGCACCUGUUGUGAUCAGAUACAGGCCAGCCAUGCGGGGGCGCCGAGCCGCCCCCGCAGGGUGGCGCUUGUGGGAGAAGGUGGCCUCCCACGCGCUGCCAAGGGUCGUGGUCUUGAACUUGAGGCUGUGGGAGCCGGCCAGGCUGGAGGA
Neofelis nebulosa (Clouded leopard) is the source of this 11252-nucleotide long non-coding RNA. RefSeq lists it as uncharacterized. The record is from RefSeq and is a predicted model, not a curated record. The transcript has 4 exons. NCBI's taxonomy places the organism in Eukaryota, Metazoa, Chordata, Mammalia, Carnivora, Felidae.